This 301-nucleotide ribosomal RNA is filed under the name uncultured bacterium. RNAcentral describes it as "partial 16S ribosomal RNA". It matches the Rfam family "Bacterial small subunit ribosomal RNA", at positions 509 to 807 of the family's 1533-position model. The record is from RNAcentral.
CAGUAGCCGCGGGAAUACGUAGGUGGCAAGCGUUGUCCGGAAUUAUUGGGCGUAAAGGGCUCGCAGGCGGUUUCUUAAGUCUGAUGUGAAAGCCCCCGGCUCAACCGGGGAGGGUCAUUGGAAACUGGGAAACUUGAGUGCAGAAGAGGAGAGUGGAAUUCCACGUGUAGCGGUGAAAUGCGUAGAGGUGUAGAGGAACACCAGUGGCGAAGGCGACUCUCUGGUCUGUAACUGACGCUGAGGAGCGAAAGCGUGGGGAGCGAACAGGAUUAGAUACCCGAGUAGUCCCUGUCUCUUAUAC